Molecule: ribosomal RNA, 439 nt
Filed under: uncultured Brevitalea sp.
Lineage: Bacteria; Pseudomonadati; Acidobacteriota; Blastocatellia; Blastocatellales; Arenimicrobiaceae
Description: bacterial SSU rRNA
Rfam family: Bacterial small subunit ribosomal RNA
Source: RNAcentral
CCUACGGGUGGCAGCAGUGGGGGAUCUUGCGCAAUGAGCGAAAGCUUGACGCAGCGACGCCGCGUGGGGGAUGAAGGCCCUCGGGUUGUAAACCCCUUUCGGCAGGGACGAAGGGAAACUGACGGUACCUGCAGAAGAAGCCCCGGCUAACUACGUGCCAGCAGCCGCGGUGAGACGUAGGGGGCGAGCGUUGUCCGGAUUCAUUGGGCGUAAAGCGCGCGUAGGCGGCCCGGUAAGUCGGAUGUGAAAUCCCGGAGCUCAACUCCGGAACUGCACCCGAUACUGCCGGGCUCGAGGUAGGUAGGGGAGAUCGGAAUUCCUGGUGUAGCGGUGGAAUGCGCAGAUAUCAGGAGGAACACCGGUGGCGAAGGCGGAUCUCUGGGCCUUACCUGACGCUGAGGUGCGAAAGCUAGGGGAGCGAACAGGAUUAGAUACCCCU